RNAcentral lists this ribosomal RNA (301 nucleotides) under uncultured bacterium. RNAcentral's name for it is "partial 16S ribosomal RNA". It matches the Rfam family "Bacterial small subunit ribosomal RNA", at positions 509 to 807 of the family's 1533-position model. The record is from RNAcentral.
CAGCCGCCGCGGUAACACGUAGGUGGCAAGCGUUGUCCGGAAUUAUUGGGCGUAAAGGGCUCGCAGGCGGUUUCUUAAGUCUGAUGUGAAAACCCCCGGCUCAACCGGGGAGGGUCAUUGGAAACUGGGAAACUUGAGUGCAGAAGAGGAGAGUGGAAUUCCACGUGUAGCGGUGAAAUGCGUAGAGAUGUGGAGGAACACCAGUGGCGAAGGCGACUCCCUGGUCUGUAACUGACGCUGAGGAGCGAAAGCGUGGGGAGCGAACAGGAUUAGAGACCCCAGUAGUCCCUGUCUCUUAUAC